GACGAUCCCUAGCUGGUCUGAGAGGAUGACCAGCCACACUGGAACUGAGACACGGUCCAGACUCCUACGGGAGGCAGCAGUGGGGAAUAUUGCACAAUGGGCGCAAGCCUGAUGCAGCCAUGCCGCGUGUAUGAAGAAGGCCUUCGGGUUGUAAAGUACUUUCAGCGGGGAGGAAGGCGAUACGGUUACCGUUUGAUUGUUACCCGAAGAAACCGGCUAAUCCGUGCCAGCAGCGCGGUAAUACGGAGGGUGCAAGCGUUAAUCGGAAUUACUGGGCGUAAAGCGCACGCAGGCGGUCUGUCAAGUCGGAUGUGAAAUGGGCUCAACCUGGGAACUGCAUCCGAAACUGGCAGGCUUGAGUCUUGUAGAGGGGGGUAGAAUUCCAGGUGUAGCGGUGAAAUGCGUAGAGAUCUGGAGGAAUACCGGUGGCGAAGGCGGCCCCCUGGACAAAGACUGACGCUCAGGUGCGAAAGCGUGGGGAGCAAACAGGAUUAGAUACCCUGGUAGUCCACGCCGUAAACGAUGUCGACUUGGAGGUUGUGCCCUUGAGGCGUGGCUUCCGGAGCUAACGCGUUAAGUCGACCGCCUGGGGAGUACGGCCGCAAGGUUAAAACUCAAAUGAAUUGACGGGGGCCCGCACAAGCGGUGGAGCAUGUGGUUUAAUUCGAUGCAACGCGAAGAACCUUACCUGGUCUUGA
Molecule: ribosomal RNA, 698 nt
Filed under: Enterobacteriaceae bacterium
Lineage: Bacteria; Pseudomonadati; Pseudomonadota; Gammaproteobacteria; Enterobacterales; Enterobacteriaceae
Description: bacterial SSU rRNA
Rfam family: Bacterial small subunit ribosomal RNA
Source: RNAcentral